AAGAGAAGAGGACAGAACAGGCAUCUGUCGCCCAUUGUGGAGAUGUAGGGUACGCCUUCCUACCUUCUCUU
Molecule: non-coding RNA, 71 nt
Filed under: unclassified sequences
Description: skipping-rope RNA
Rfam family: skipping-rope RNA
About the family: Firmicutes, Fusobacteria, AlphaProteobacteria, Spirochaetes. Downstream gene
Source: Rfam by way of RNAcentral